RNAcentral lists this ribosomal RNA (2926 nucleotides) under Salmonella enterica subsp. enterica serovar Newport str. CDC 2012K-0938. Its description in RNAcentral is "23S ribosomal RNA". It matches the Rfam family "Bacterial large subunit ribosomal RNA". The record is from RNAcentral. Lineage: Bacteria; Pseudomonadati; Pseudomonadota; Gammaproteobacteria; Enterobacterales; Enterobacteriaceae.
GGGUUGUGAGGUUAAGCGACUAAGCGUACACGGUGGAUGCCCUGGCAGUCAGAGGCGAUGAAGGACGUGCUAAUCUGCGAUAAGCGCCGGUAAGGUGAUAUGAACCGUUAUAACCGGCGAUUUCCGAAUGGGGAAACCCAGUGUGACUCGUCACACUAUCAUUAACUGAAUCCAUAGGUUAAUGAGGCGAACCGGGGGAACUGAAACAUCUAAGUACCCCGAGGAAAAGAAAUCAACCGAGAUUCCCCCAGUAGCGGCGAGCGAACGGGGAGGAGCCCAGAGCCUGAAUCAGCAUGUGUGUUAGUGGAAGCGUCUGGAAAGGCGCGCGAUACAGGGUGACAGCCCCGUACACAAAAGCGCAUGUGUUGUGAGCUCGAUGAGUAGGGCGGGACACGUGGUAUCCUGUCUGAAUAUGGGGGGACCAUCCUCCAAGGCUAAAUACUCCUGACUGACCGAUAGUGAACCAGUACCGUGAGGGAAAGGCGAAAAGAACCCCGGCGAGGGGAGUGAAAAAGAACCUGAAACCGUGUACGUACAAGCAGUGGGAGCACCCUUUUGGGUGUGACUGCGUACCUUUUGUAUAAUGGGUCAGCGACUUAUAUUCUGUAGCAAGGUUAACCGAAUAGGGGAGCCGGAGGGAAACCGAGUCUUAACCGGGCGUUAAGUUGCAGGGUAUAGACCCGAAACCCGGUGAUCUAGCCAUGGGCAGGUUGAAGGUUGGGUAACACUAACUGGAGGACCGAACCGACUAAUGUUGAAAAAUUAGCGGAUGACCUGUGGCUGGGGGUGAAAGGCCAAUCAAACCGGGAGAUAGCUGGUUCUCCCCGAAAGCUAUUUAGGUAGCGCCUCGUGAAUUCAUCUCCGGGGGUAGAGCACUGUUUCGGCUAGGGGGCCAUCCCGGCUUACCAACCCGAUGCAAACUGCGAAUACCGGAGAAUGUUAUCACGGGAGACACACGGCGGGUGCUAACGUCCGUCGUGAAGAGGGAAACAACCCAGACCGCCAGCUAAGGUCCCAAAGUCAUGGUUAAGUGGGAAACGAUGUGGGAAGGCCCAGACAGCCAGGAUGUUGGCUUAGAAGCAGCCAUCAUUUAAAGAAAGCGUAAUAGCUCACUGGUCGAGUCGGCCUGCGCGGAAGAUGUAACGGGGCUAAACCAUGCACCGAAGCUGCGGCAGCGACACUGUGUGUUGUUGGGUAGGGGAGCGUUCUGUAAGCCUGUGAAGGUGUGUCGUGAGGCAUGCUGGAGGUAUCAGAAGUGCGAAUGCUGACAUAAGUAACGAUAAAGCGGGUGAAAAGCCCGCUCGCCGGAAGACCAAGGGUUCCUGUCCAACGUUAAUCGGGGCAGGGUGAGUCGACCCCUAAGGCGAGGCCGAAAGGCGUAGUCGAUGGGAAACGGGUUAAUAUUCCCGUACUUGGUGUUACUGCGAAGGGGGGACGGAGAAGGCUAUGUUGGCCGGGCGACGGUUGUCCCGGUUUAAGCGUGUAGGUGUGUGUUCCAGGUAAAUCCGGUUCACUUUAACACUGAGGCGUGAUGACGAGGCACUACGGUGCUGAAGCAACAAAUGCCCUGCUUCCAGGAAAAGCCUCUAAGCAUCAGGUAACAUCAAAUCGUACCCCAAACCGACACAGGUGGUCAGGUAGAGAAUACCAAGGCGCUUGAGAGAACUCGGGUGAAGGAACUAGGCAAAAUGGUGCCGUAACUUCGGGAGAAGGCACGCUGACACGUAGGUGAAGUGAUUUACUCAUGGAGCUGAAGUCAGUCGAAGAUACCAGCUGGCUGCAACUGUUUAUUAAAAACACAGCACUGUGCAAACACGAAAGUGGACGUAUACGGUGUGACGCCUGCCCGGUGCCGGAAGGUUAAUUGAUGGGGUCAGCGCAAGCGAAGCUCCUGAUCGAAGCCCCGGUAAACGGCGGCCGUAACUAUAACGGUCCUAAGGUAGCGAAAUUCCUUGUCGGGUAAGUUCCGACCUGCACGAAUGGCGUAAUGAUGGCCAGGCUGUCUCCACCCGAGACUCAGUGAAAUUGAACUCGCUGUGAAGAUGCAGUGUACCCGCGGCAAGACGGAAAGACCCCGUGAACCUUUACUAUAGCUUGACACUGAACAUUGAGCCUUGAUGUGUAGGAUAGGUGGGAGGCUUUGAAGUGUGGACGCCAGUCUGCAUGGAGCCGACCUUGAAAUACCACCCUUUAAUGUUUGAUGUUCUAACGUGGACCCGUGAUCCGGGUUGCGGACAGUGUCUGGUGGGUAGUUUGACUGGGGCGGUCUCCUCCUAAAGAGUAACGGAGGAGCACGAAGGUUGGCUAAUCCUGGUCGGACAUCAGGAGGUUAGUGCAAUGGCAUAAGCCAGCUUGACUGCGAGCGUGACGGCGCGAGCAGGUGCGAAAGCAGGUCAUAGUGAUCCGGUGGUUCUGAAUGGAAGGGCCAUCGCUCAACGGAUAAAAGGUACUCCGGGGAUAACAGGCUGAUACCGCCCAAGAGUUCAUAUCGACGGCGGUGUUUGGCACCUCGAUGUCGGCUCAUCACAUCCUGGGGCUGAAGUAGGUCCCAAGGGUAUGGCUGUUCGCCAUUUAAAGUGGUACGCGAGCUGGGUUUAGAACGUCGUGAGACAGUUCGGUCCCUAUCUGCCGUGGGCGCUGGAGAACUGAGGGGGGCUGCUCCUAGUACGAGAGGACCGGAGUGGACGCAUCACUGGUGUUCGGGUUGUCAUGCCAAUGGCACUGCCCGGUAGCUAAAUGCGGAAGAGAUAAGUGCUGAAAGCAUCUAAGCACGAAACUUGCCCCGAGAUGAGUUCUCCCUGAGACUUAGAGUCUCCUGAAGGAACGUUGAAGACGACGACGUUGAUAGGCCGGGUGUGUAAGCGCAGCGAUGCGUUGAGCUAACCGGUACUAAUGAACCGUGAGGCUUAACCUUACAACGCCGAAG